AAUGUUGAGGAAGUAAUUGUUCCGAGUAUGAUUGAGAAACUGCCAGAUCUUGGAGAUAACAAAUCAAAAUUACCUGUUGUUGAGGCAAGAUCUCUGGAGGAUUUAGACAAAUCUAUUCAACAACUUGCGAAACCUAAUCCAGCAUAUUCUUCAGGCUCAGGCUCAAAGAAUGAAUCAUCAAAAGAUGCGAAGACCGAGACUAAUGUGGUGCUGCCAGUUCUUGAAGCAAGAUCAGCCGAAGAUAUUGAUUUGGCUUUUAAGCAACUUCAUGACGGAGUGGACAUUGAGGAAGUAAUUGUUCCGAGUAUGAUUGAGAAACUGCCAGACCAUGGAGAUAACAAAUCAAAAUUACGUGUUGUCGAGGCAAGAUCUCUGGAGGACAUAGACAAAGCUAUUCAACAACUUCCGAAAUCUAAUCCAGCUGAGCUGCCACAUUCUUCAGUUUCAAGGAAUGAACCAUCAAAAGAUAUGAAGACUGAGACUAAUGUGGUGCUGCCAGUUCUUGAAGCAAGAUCAGCAGAAGAUAUUGAUUUGGC
This 536-nucleotide long non-coding RNA is filed under the name Gossypium raimondii (Peruvian cotton). RNAcentral's name for it is "long non-coding RNA (GRAI_LNC005649)". The record is from RNAcentral. Lineage: Eukaryota; Viridiplantae; Streptophyta; Magnoliopsida; Malvales; Malvaceae.